This 253-nucleotide ribosomal RNA is filed under the name uncultured bacterium. RNAcentral's name for it is "partial 16S ribosomal RNA". It matches the Rfam family "Bacterial small subunit ribosomal RNA", at positions 524 to 776 of the family's 1533-position model. The record is from RNAcentral.
GACAGAGGUGCCGAGCGUUAGGCGGAAUCACUGGGCUUAAAGCGUGUGUAGGCGGAUCGUUAAGUGCGUUGUGAAAUCCCACGGCUCACCCGUGGAACUGCUGGGCAUACUGGCGGUCUUGAGCCACCUAGGGGCAACCGGAACAAACGGUGGAGCGGUGAAAUGCGUAGAUAUCAUUUGGAACGCCAAUGGUGAAAACAGCUCGCUGGGGGUUUGCUGACGCUGAGACACGAAAGCCAGGGGAGCAAACGGG